RNAcentral lists this ribosomal RNA (1467 nucleotides) under uncultured organism. Its description in RNAcentral is "bacterial SSU rRNA". It matches the Rfam family "Bacterial small subunit ribosomal RNA". The record is from RNAcentral.
UGGCUCAGAACGAACGCUGGCGGCGUGCUAAUACAUGCAAGUCGUGCGAGAAAGUCCGCUUCGGUGGAGCGAGUAAGCGGCAACGGGUGAGUAACACGUAAGUAACUUUCCUCUAAGUUGGGAAUACCCCUGCCAACGCGGGGUUAAUACCGAAUGUGGUCAGAAAGUCGCAUGGUUUUCUGACUAAAGGUGGCUUCGGCUACCGCUUAGAGAUGGGCUUGCGCACCAUUAGCUUGUUGGUGGGGUAAUGGCCUACCAAGGCUUUGAUGGUUAGCCGACCUGAGAGGGUGAUCGGCCACAUUGGGACUGAGAUACGGCCCAGACUCCUACGGGAGGCAGCAGUAGGGAAUUUUGCGCAAUGGACGAAAGUCUGACGCAGCAACGCCGCGUGAGGGAUGAAGGGUUUCGGCUCGUAAACCUCUGUUGAGUAGGAAGAAACGUCAUGGGGUUAAUACCCUCAUGGCCUGACGGUACUACUCGAGGAAGCUCCGGCUAACUACGUGCCAGCAGCCGCGGUAAUACGUAGGGGGCGAGCGUUGUUCGGAAUCACUGGGCGUAAAGGGAGCGUANGCGGGAAGGUAAGUCAGAAGUCUAACACAUGGGCUUAACCCAUGUCCGGCUUUUGAUACUGCUUUUCUUGAGUAUGGGAGAGGAAGAUGGAAUUCCAGGUGUAGCGGUGGAAUGCGUAGAUAUCUGGAAGAACACCAGUUGCGAAGCCGGUCUUUUUGGCCCUAUACUGACGCUGAGGCUUGUAAGCUUAGGGGAGCAUACAGGAUUAGAUACCCUGGUAGUCCUAGCCAUAAACGAUGGACACUAGUUGGUGUUGGGAGUCAAUCUGUUCACUGACGAAGUUAACGCAUUAAGUGUCCCGCCUGGGGAGUACGCCCGCAAGGGUGAAACUCAAAGGAAUUGACGGGGGCCCGCACAAGCGGUGGAGCAUGUGCUUUAAUUCGAUGCAACGCGAAGAACCUUACCUGGGUUUGACAUGGGGAUGAAACUCUCCAGAGAUGGAGAGCCUUCCUUCGGGAACAUCCUACACAGGUGCUGCAUGGUUGUCGUCAGCUCGUGUCGUGAGAUGUUGGGUUAAGUCCCGCAACGAGCGCAACCCUCGUCCCUAGUUGCCAUCAGGUAAUGCUGGGAACUCUAGGGAGACUGCCUGGUCACAACCAGGAGGAAGGUGAGGAUGACGUCAAAUCAUCAUGGCUCUUACGCCCAGGGCUAGACACGUGCUACAAUGGUUGGUACAAUGGGAUGCCACACUGCGAAGUGGAGCAAACCCCAAUAAACCAACCUCAGUUCAGAUUGGAGUCUGCAAUUCGACUCCAUGAAGGUGGAAUCGCUAGUAAUCGCGGAUCAGCAUGCCGCGGUGAAUACGUUCCCGGGCAUUGUACACACCGCCCGUCAAGCCAUGAAAGGUGGGAGUGCCCGAAGUCGUGGCUCCAACCGCAAGGGGGAGCGCGCCGAAGG